Long non-coding RNA from Artibeus jamaicensis (Jamaican fruit-eating bat), 690 nucleotides. RefSeq lists it as uncharacterized. The record is from RefSeq and is a predicted model, not a curated record. The transcript is spliced from 3 exons. NCBI's taxonomy places the organism in Eukaryota, Metazoa, Chordata, Mammalia, Chiroptera, Phyllostomidae.
CCUGGGUCUCCUCCCACGGCUGGAGCCUUUGUUUUAUCUGAGGGGUCGCCUCCCUGGGAGGGAGGCUUGGUUGCCAGUUGGUAUAGGAAGAUGAUGCGUGUCCUUCCGCCAGUCACCUAGUUACCAGCUUCCGUCUGUCAAGAAAGAGACCACAGGCCCAAAAUGGAGUCACUUGUGCUAAGAUGCUUCACCGAAACUAAAAGUUAAUACCUGACCUAAUUGUAGUUUCAGCCUCUCCCAAGAGUGGAAUUUUAAACUACCAACUAGUCUGGAAUUUCCUGAUCAACACUAAUAAGACAGAGGACAAUGAGAACUGCCUGGGACCUGGUGUCACUGUGGUCUCCUGAUACUGACGAUCCCAUCUGCCUACAUUAGAUGGAGGUAAUGAAAAACAAUCUUAAGCAGAUCCAUCGUUUAACUAUAUGUAAUAUUGAGUCGAGUGUUCAUUCCAGGUAAUUUCAUCACUGGAGAUAGUUAGUGGCUUGCUAACUCAAGCCAGGAAAAUGCAUCCCCUCCCGUUUUUCCUGCUCCUCCCUCUUGCUGAAAUAGAGGUCUCCUGGCCAAUUCAGCACACCAUGCCUGACAUACAGAAACACAGAAGGUAGAAUGCCAUAGGGAAAGAGCUGAGUGAGCUUUCAGAAGCACUGGGUCCUAAUCUUAGCCAUCCUGUGUGACAUCAGACAAAUUCCU